UAAGACAGAGGGUGCAAACGUUGUUCGGAAUUACUGGGCGUAAAGCGAGUGUAGGCGGUCCGAUAAGUCGGGUGUGAAAGCCCUGGGCUCAACCCAGGAAGUGCACUCGAAACUGCCGGGCUAGAGUAUCGGAGAGGUUGGUGGAAUUCUCGGUGUAGAGGUGAAAUUCGUAGAUAUCGAGAGGAACACCGGUGGCGAAGGCGGCCAACUGGACGAAUACUGACGCUGAGACUCGAAAGCGUGGGGAGCAAACAGGAUUAGAUACCCUGGUAGUCCACGCCGUAAACGAUGGGUGCUAGGUGUCGCGGGCUUUGACUCCCGCGGUGCCGUAGCUAACGCAUUAAGCACCCCGCCUGGGAAGUACGGCCGCAAGGCUA
This 377-nucleotide ribosomal RNA is filed under the name uncultured bacterium. Its description in RNAcentral is "bacterial SSU rRNA". It matches the Rfam family "Bacterial small subunit ribosomal RNA", at positions 521 to 896 of the family's 1533-position model. The record is from RNAcentral.